RNAcentral lists this long non-coding RNA (522 nucleotides) under Pan troglodytes (chimpanzee). Its description in RNAcentral is "lncRNA (ENSPTRG00000054007.1)". Lineage: Eukaryota; Metazoa; Chordata; Mammalia; Primates; Hominidae. The record is from RNAcentral.
AUUUUAUCCAAGUGAUCUGCUCUUCCUCUCUAAUUUCUUUGCAUUUACAUUAUGAAAAGGAGACCUAAAUUCAUUUAAUAUGGUGUUAGCAUGACUGAUAUGCUUCCAUUACUCAGAGUUCUCAUUAUUUAUCUCAAAAUUCAGGAAUUUCUCUUGUUCCCUGCUUUUACUGUUUACUUUUCUGCUAGUGCAACAUUCCCCACUAUUGGAAGGCUUCAUCUUCAAAGCAAAGGACAUGGUACAAAAAAUGGAAAAUUAACCAAAAAUAAAGAGGAAACAACCAAAGCAACCAAAAUAACAAAAUUGUUGGAGCUACUGUCCUUAAAAUUCUAUAUGGAAUUCAAGGAAUGGUCCUUCACUUGUGUACAGAGGAUAACAGGGGCUUCACUGAUACAUUCUUUAGUGAACCAAGAGAUUUUCAUACUACCUCAGGUGAACAAACCUUCAAAAAUCUACAUAUAUAAUACUAUUUUCUGUGUCCCCUUAUUAAGAAGGCUAAGUGCUAAGUGACUUGUGAAAGAU